Molecule: non-coding RNA, 74 nt
Organism: Micrococcus sp. HMSC067E09
Lineage: Bacteria; Bacillati; Actinomycetota; Actinomycetes; Micrococcales; Micrococcaceae
Source: Rfam
GGAUCUUUAGCUCAGUUGGUUAGAGCGUUCGCUUCACACGCGAGAGGUCGCUGGUUCGAGUCCAGUAAGAUCCA